RNAcentral lists this ribosomal RNA (466 nucleotides) under uncultured bacterium. RNAcentral describes it as "partial 16S ribosomal RNA". It matches the Rfam family "Bacterial small subunit ribosomal RNA", at positions 30 to 507 of the family's 1533-position model. The record is from RNAcentral.
CGAACGCUGGCGGCGUGCUUAACACAUGCAAGUCGAACGGAAAGGCCCUGCUUUUGUGGGGUGCUCGAGUGGCGAACGGGUGAGUAACACGUGAGUAACCUGCCCUUGACUUUGGGAUAACUUCAGGAAACUGGGGCUAAUACCGGAUAGGAGCUCCUGCUGCAUGGUGGGGGUUGGAAAGUUUCGGCGGUUGGGGAUGGACUCGCGGCUUAUCAGCUUGUUGGUGGGGUAGUGGCUUACCAAGGCUUUGACGGGUAGCCGGCCUGAGAGGGUGACCGGCCACAUUGGGGCUGAGAUACGGCCCAGACUCCUACGGGAGGCAGCAGUGGGGAAUAUUGCACAAUGGGCGGAAGCCUGAUGCAGCAACGCCGCGUGCGGGAUGACGGCCUUCGGGUUGUAAACCGCUUUCGCCUGUGACGAAGCGUGAGUGACGGUAAUGGGUAAAGAAGCACCGGCUAACUACGUG